CCCGCACAAGCGGUGGAGCAUGUGGUUUAAUUCGAUGAUACGCGAGGAACCUUACCUGGGCUCAAAUGUAUGUUGACGUAUUCUGAAAGGGAUACUUCUUCGGACAAUAUACAAGGUGCUGCAUGGUUGUCGUCAGCUCGUGCCGUGAGGUGUCGGGGUUAAGUCCCAUAACGAGCGCAACCCCUAUCAUUAGUUGCCAUCAGGUCAAGCUGGGGACUCUAAUGAAACUGCCUACGCAAGUAGUGAGGAAGGUGGGGAUGACGUCAAAUCAGCACGGCCCUUACGUCCAGGGCUACACACGUGCUACAAUGGCCGAUACAGAGGGCAGCUACCUGGUGACAGGAUGCAAAUCUCCAAAGUCGGUCUCAGUUCGGAUCGGAGUCUGCAACCCGACUCCGUGAAGUUGGAUUCGCUAGUAAUCGCGCAUCAGCCAUGGCGCGGUGAAUACGUUCCCGGGCCUU
RNAcentral lists this ribosomal RNA (461 nucleotides) under uncultured Sphingobacteriales bacterium. RNAcentral's name for it is "bacterial SSU rRNA". It matches the Rfam family "Bacterial small subunit ribosomal RNA", at positions 920 to 1382 of the family's 1533-position model. Lineage: Bacteria; Pseudomonadati; Bacteroidota; Sphingobacteriia; Sphingobacteriales. The record is from RNAcentral.